CGCGUAGGAAUCUACCCAGUAGUGGGGGACAACAGUCGGAAACGGCUGCUAAUACCGCAUACGCCCCAAGGGGGAAAGCGGGGGAUCUUCGGACCUCGCGCUAUUGGAUGAGCCUGCGUAAGAUUAGCUUGUUGGUGAGGUAAAGGCUCACCAAGGCGACGAUCUUUAGCUGGUCUGAGAGGAUGAUCAGCCACACUGGGACUGAGACACGGCCCAGACUCCUACGGGAGGCAGCAGUGGGGAAUAUUGCGCAAUGGGGGAAACCCUGACGCAGCCAUGCCGCGUGUGUGAAGAAGGCCU
Molecule: ribosomal RNA, 300 nt
Filed under: uncultured Alteromonadales bacterium
Lineage: Bacteria; Pseudomonadati; Pseudomonadota; Gammaproteobacteria; Alteromonadales
Description: bacterial SSU rRNA
Rfam family: Bacterial small subunit ribosomal RNA
Source: RNAcentral